CGAGUCCCCAAUCUAAACCGUCAAUAGUCCGAGGCAAGGUGCUCUCACGAAUCGCACCUUCCUAUUUCAUCAAAACGUCCAAGAACUUCAGGUUAGUCCACGAGUGUCUACAUUGAGAAAUCAUCAAGAUUUUGUGUGUUAGCAACGUUUUGUGUUGAUCCUUGGACUCUUACCCUCAACAACGCUAUCUGGUUAAGUUCUGGAGUGAAGGCGGCCAAGAUUGGCGUUCGAAUCGGAGUUUCAAGAAAAUGUGAUUUUCGGACCUAUGAAGGAAAUUCCAGAAUUGUUGGAAUCCAUUCCGUCAAGAAAACUCGAACUCGGGAAGGCACGCGUCAACUAAGUGAGUGAUGCCAUGGAUCGAGGCGGGAAUGCAUGUUGAAUCUUAAUGCCACAGAGGAGUGUCCCGAGGCGUCUAGGAGUCUGUGCAUAAUUUUGUUUAGAUUUGUCAUGCAUUGUUUUGUAAACCAUUUACAUACUUUUCAUACUUGAACACCUUGUUUUGGAUUUUAA
Cucurbita moschata (crookneck pumpkin) is the source of this 510-nucleotide long non-coding RNA. RefSeq lists it as uncharacterized. The record is from RefSeq and is a predicted model, not a curated record. The transcript has 3 exons. Lineage: Eukaryota; Viridiplantae; Streptophyta; Magnoliopsida; Cucurbitales; Cucurbitaceae.